GAUGAACGCUGGCGGCGUGCCUAAUACAUGCAAGUCGAGCGAACGGACGAGAAGCUUGCUUCUCUGAUGUUAGCGGCGGACGGGUGAGUAACACGUGGAUAACCUACCUAUAAGACUGGGAUAACUUCGGGAAACCGGAGCUAAUACCGGAUAAUAUUUUGAACCGCAUGGUUCAAAAGUGAAAGACGGUCUUGCUGUCACUUAUAGAUGGAUCCGCGCCGCAUUAGCUAGUUGGUAAGGUAACGGCUUACCAAGGCAACGAUGCAUAGCCGACCUGAGAGGGUGAUCGGCCACACUGGAACUGAGACACGGUCCAGACUCCUACGGGAGGCAGCAGUAGGGAAUCUUCCGCAAUGGGCGAAAGCCUGACGGAGCAACGCCGCGUGAGUGAUGAAGGUCUUCGGAUCGUAAAACUCUGUUAUUAGGGAAGAACAUAUGUGUAAGUAACUGUGCACAUCUUGACGGUACCUAAUCAGAAAGCCACGGCUAACUACGUGCCAGCAGCCGCGGUAAUACGUANGUGGNCAGCGUUAUCCNGAAUAUAUGGGCGUAAAGCGCGCGUAGGCGGUUUUUUAGUCUGAUGUGAAAGCCCACGGCUCACCGUGGAGGGUCAUUGGAAACUGGAAAACUUGAGUGCAGAAGAGGAAAGUGGAAUUCCAUGUGUAGCGGUGAAAUGCGCAGAGAUAUGGAGGAACACCAGUGGCGAAGGCGACUUUCUGGUCUGUAACUGACGCUGAUGUGCGAAAGCGUGGGGAUCAAACAGGAUUAGAUACCCUGGUAGUCCACGCCGUAAACGAUGAGUGCUAAGUGUUAGGGGGUUUCCGCCCCUUAGUGCUGCAGCUAACGCAUUAAGCACUCCGCCUGGGGAGUACGACCGCAAGGUUGAAACUCAAAGGAAUUGACGGGGACCCGCACAAGCGGUGGAGCAUGUGGUUUAAUUCGAAGCAACGCGAAGAACCUUACCAAAUCUUGACAUCCUUUGACAACUCUAGAGAUAGAGCCUUCCCCUUCGGGGGACAAAGUGACAGGUGGUGCAUGGUUGUCGUCAGCUCGUGUCGUGAGAUGUUGGGUUAAGUCCCGCAACGAGCGCAACCCUUAAGCUUAGUUGCCAUCAUUAAGUUGGGCACUCUAAGUUGACUGCCGGUGACAAACCGGAGGAAGGUGGGGAUGACGUCAAAUCAUCAUGCCCCUUAUGAUUUGGGCUACACACGUGCUACAAUGGACAAUACAAAGGGCAGCGAAACCGCGAGGUCAAGCAAAUCCCAUAAAGUUGUUCUCAGUUCGGAUUGUAGUCUGCAACUCGACUACAUGAAGCUGGAAUCGCUAGUAAUCGUAGAUCAGCAUGCUACGGUGAAUACGUUCCCGGGUCU
RNAcentral lists this ribosomal RNA (1370 nucleotides) under uncultured bacterium. RNAcentral describes it as "bacterial SSU rRNA". It matches the Rfam family "Bacterial small subunit ribosomal RNA", at positions 28 to 1381 of the family's 1533-position model. The record is from RNAcentral.